GAUGAACGCUGGCGGCGUGCCUAAUACAUGCAAGUCGAGCGAACGGACGAGAAGCUUGCUUCUCUGAUGUUAGCGGCGGACGUGUGAGUAACACGUGUAUAACCUACCUAUAAGACUGGGAUAACUUCGGGAAACCGUAGCUAAUACCGUAUAAUAUUUUGAACCGCAUGGUUCAAAAGUGAGAGACGGUCUUUCUGGCACUUAUAGAUGGAUCCGCGCUGCAUUAGAUAGUUGGUAAGGUAACGGCCUACCAAGGCAACGAUGCAUAGCCGACCUGAGAGGGUGAUAGGCCACACGGGAACUGAAACACGGUCAAGACGACUACGGGAGGGAGCAGUCGGCAAUGUUACGCAGUGGGCGGGAGCAUUACGGAGCAACGCGGCGUGAGUGAUGACGGUGUUCGGAUCGUGAAGCUGUGUUACGAGGGAAGAACAUAUGUGUCAGUAAAUGUGCAGAUCUUGACGGUACCUAAUAAGAAAGCAACGGCUAACUACGUG
RNAcentral lists this ribosomal RNA (497 nucleotides) under uncultured bacterium. RNAcentral's name for it is "partial 16S ribosomal RNA". It matches the Rfam family "Bacterial small subunit ribosomal RNA", at positions 28 to 507 of the family's 1533-position model. The record is from RNAcentral.